This is a long non-coding RNA of Sitodiplosis mosellana (orange wheat blossom midge), 384 nucleotides long. RefSeq lists it as uncharacterized. The record is from RefSeq and is a predicted model, not a curated record. Lineage: Eukaryota; Metazoa; Arthropoda; Insecta; Diptera; Cecidomyiidae. The transcript has 3 exons.
GCCGGAGUCAGCGCGAAGAAUGUAUCAGUUUGUGUUUGUCAUUUGAAGAAGCUACACAUUCCACUUUGUCAAAAUGUUCAAAAUUAUUGCUUUCUUAUUCAUGGCUAUCGUUAUCGCUUGCGUGUGCGCCGAACCAAAGCCUGAUGUAAUUGCUUACAGUGCACCAGUUGUCGCUGCUCCAUUGGCCACUAGCAGUCAAUACUUUGCUCGAAGCUCAUCUCCAUAAGUAGCAUACCCAUAUGUCGCUGCAUAUUCAGCACCUUAUGUUGUCGCUGAUCCGUAUGCUGCUUACACAUCAACACUCUUCUUAUAAAUGUGAUAUAUUCGAGAAGAAGAAACCAUCGGUUCUAUUCAAUUGGCAAAAGAACGAUUUUGUUAUGUGAA